CCUACGGGAGGCAGCAGUGAGGAAUAUUGGUCAAUGGGCGCGAGCCUGAACCAGCCAAGUAGCGUGAAGGAUGACUGCCCUACGGGUUGUAAACUUCUUUUAUAAAGGAAUAAAGUGAGGCACGUGUGCCUUUUUGUAUGUACUUUAUGAGUAAGGAUCGGUUAACUCCGUGCCAGCAGCCGCGGUAAUACGGAGGAUCCGAGCGUUGUCCGGAUUGAUUGGGUUUAAAGGGAGCGUAGAUGGGUUGUUAAGUCAGUUGUGAAAGUUUGCGGCUCAACCGUAAAAUUGCAAUUGAUACUGGCAGCCUUGAGUACAAUUGAGGUAGGCGGAAUUCGUGGUGUAGCGGUGAAAUGCUUAGAUAUCACGAAGAACUCCGAUAGCGAAGGCAGCCUUCUAAACUGCCACUGACAUUGAUGCGCGAAAGUGUGGGUAGCAAACAGGAUUAGAUACCCGAGUAGUC
This 460-nucleotide ribosomal RNA is filed under the name uncultured bacterium. Its description in RNAcentral is "partial 16S ribosomal RNA". It matches the Rfam family "Bacterial small subunit ribosomal RNA", at positions 338 to 795 of the family's 1533-position model. The record is from RNAcentral.